Molecule: non-coding RNA, 1718 nt
Organism: Drosophila suzukii
Lineage: Eukaryota; Metazoa; Arthropoda; Insecta; Diptera; Drosophilidae
Source: RefSeq, a predicted model, not a curated record
UUGGCACCGGCUGUUCGCUCGGCGAAAAACAUUCAAUUAGUUUGAUUUACACUUUUCAAAAACGUUGGCUGGAUGGAUGGAUGCCGAUGACGAUGCCAUUGCCGGUGGGCGUCUUGUUGCCAAAAGCCGCCUGUGUGCUUGUGCUCCGGCUCCCUUUGUGCGACUGUUGGCGUUUCCGUUUCCGCUGUUUAACAAGCGACUUUUGGCAACAACAGCACAAACAACUCGGGUGGUAGGAGGAGCAAAAGGCAGGAGGAUCAGAUCAGGAGCAGUGCCAAUACCGUGUACCCUCUUGCGUGCCAAAAAAAACCAGGGGUUCAGCCCGAGCUCCAGCUGGAGCUUUCCAUUUCCAUUGCCAUCCAGUUUUCCGCCGGCCGUGGAGCGGAAACAGUUUUCAGGGGACCCCUCCUCGUCCUCAUCCUCUUCCUCCUCCAAUAUUAGUUUGGGGCGGCAGCAAAACGCUUCCGGCAGCCAAAAUGCCAUGAGUAGUUGCUGUUGUUGCCGGCCAGGGCCAUUCGAUGAUUUUUCAAUUUGCAUUUGACACACAGAGGCAAUGUCAAAGAGCAAAUUGAAAUGGCACAAGUCUGCUGGAACUUAUAAUCAUAUGCAGCGCACAGCCUUGAGAGUUCCGUCUGCCGAAUGAGAGAAUCACAAUCAGAAUGAGAUUCGGAAUCAGAAUCAAGCUUUGACUUUGUGCCCAUCUCGUUGGCUUGGCUUUCAAUUAGGUGUCCAGCAGUCCAGGAGUCCAGGAGUCCAGAAGGGCAGGUGACCAUGUAAGUGUAAGUGGGCCAUUUGACAGGGCCAAAGUUAAAUUCGAAUAUUAAAUGCAACCCCAGAGGGAGAAAGGCAGCAUGGUGUUCAGUUCGGCAUGUCAACUUCAUUUGUUGAAUGACAUAAGUUAUCAACGAAAUUGCUGGAGAACUGACCCCGAGCAAAUUGCGUUGGCGCCCCUUUUAACUUUAUCUGGCAGUCGCAAUGCUGUAUAGUUUUAUCUUGAAUAUUCAACAAGAACAUCGAUUUAAAGACUUUCCUUUGGCUGAUAUACAUCAUUUAGCUGACGAUUUGGAUAUUUAAAGCCCCUUUAAUCAGGUCCUUGGACGAGCAGAUCUCCCUGUGGUGUCGGUGGCCAGGGAACUCUGCUGGGAGACUCGCUUCCUUCGGCCGUAAUUUGCCAUAAAAUAAGCAUAAAUUGGAUCAAUUUACGAAAAGCUCUGUUACAAAUGCACAGCGAGCAGUGGGCCCACAAUAAGAACGCCGCCAUAUAUAGUUACAGUUGCAGUUGCGAUGGAGCAAGUACCAUCUAGCAGAUAUCAUCCACCCAUCCCAUCCUGGCCAGAGUUCCAUGUCAAACGGCGGAGGCUGGGUCCUGGGGUAAUGGCCAUCCAAGGCGGUUGCUCUGCUGACAGCCCUGUGGUUUCUGUCACGCGCAUUGAAUCUGAAGCUGAUUCUCCAGCUGAAGCCGAUGCCUCGGUUGCAUUUCACUUGACGUCCUCUCCCACUUGUCGUCAUCGCUGUCAGUGCCGUUGAGGAGGAGUCCUGCGAGUCCUGCAAGUCCUCCGAGUUGUCCUGGCCGUCCAAGGAGCCUCCGUCAUCCGGCUGCUUAAUGUCAACUCUUGGCGUUUUGUCUUAGCAGCCACAUAAAAAAAUUGAAUUUAUGAUAGGGACUUUGGGAUGUUUUUCGCAUUGUGCUGGCCACGCAGAUUUUGCACCGAUAGCUU